This 1355-nucleotide ribosomal RNA is filed under the name uncultured bacterium. RNAcentral's name for it is "bacterial SSU rRNA". It matches the Rfam family "Bacterial small subunit ribosomal RNA", at positions 28 to 1381 of the family's 1533-position model. The record is from RNAcentral.
AUUGAACGCUGGCGGCAGGCUUAACACAUGCAAGUCGAACGAUGACUAACUAGCUUGCUAGUUAUGAUUAGUGGCGGACGGGUGAGUAACAUUUAGGAAUCUGCCUAGUAGUGGGGGAUAGCUCGGGGAAACUCGAAUUAAUACCGCAUACGACCUACGGGUGAAAGGGGGCGCAAGCUCUUGCUAUUAGAUGAGCCUAAAUCAGAUUAGCUAGUUGGUGGGGUAAAGGCCUACCAAGGCGACGAUCUGUAACUGGUCUGAGAGGAUGAUCAGUCACACCGGAACUGAGACACGGUCCGGACUCCUACGGGAGGCAGCAGUGGGGAAUAUUGGACAAUGGGGGCAACCCUGAUCCAGCCAUGCCGCGUGUGUGAAGAAGGCCUUUUGGUUGUAAAGCACUUUAAGCAGGGAGGAGGGGCUAAUGGUUAAUACCCAUUAGAUUAGACGUUACCUGCAGAAUAAGCACCGGCUAACUCUGUGCCAGCAGCCGCGGUAAUACAGAGGGUGCGAGCGUUAAUCGGAAUUACUGGGCGUAAAGCGAGUGUAGGUGGCUCAUUAAGUCACAUGUGAAAUCCCCGGGCUUAACCUGGGAACUGCAUGUGAUACUGGUGGUGCUAGAAUAUGUGAGAGGGAAGUAGAAUUCCAGGUGUAGCGGUGAAAUGCGUAGAGAUCUGGAGGAAUACCGAUGGCGAAGGCAGCUUCCUGGCAUAAUAUUGACACUGAGAUUCGAAAGCGUGGGUAGCAAACAGGAUUAGAUACCCUGGUAGUCCACGCCGUAAACGAUGUCUACUAGCCGUUGGGGUCCUUGAGACUUUAGUGGCGCAGUUAACGCGAUAAGUAGACCGCCUGGGGAGUACGGCCGCAAGGUUAAAACUCAAAUGAAUUGACGGGGGCCCGCACAAGCGGUGGAGCAUGUGGUUUAAUUCGAUGCAACGCGAAGAACCUUACCUGGUCUUGACAUAGUGAGAAUCCUGCAGAGAUGCGGGAGUGCCUUCGGGAAUUCACAUACAGGUGCUGCAUGGCUGUCGUCAGCUCGUGUCGUGAGAUGUUGGGUUAAGUCCCGCAACGAGCGCAACCCUUUUCCUUAUUUGCCAGCGGGUUAAGCCGGGAACUUUAAGGAUACUGCCAGUGACAAACUGGAGGAAGGCGGGGACGACGUCAAGUCAUCAUGGCCCUUACGACCAGGGCUACACACGUGCUACAAUGGUAGGUACAGAGGGUUGCUACACGGCGAUGUGAUGCUAAUCUCAAAAAGCCUAUCGUAGUCCGGAUUGGAGUCUGCAACUCGACUCCAUGAAGUCGGAAUCGCUAGUAAUCGCAGAUCAGAAUGCUGCGGUGAAUACGUUCCCGGGCCU